AGCCAUCAUGAAGAAUCCCCUAGCUAUCACCUGAGCUGCAACAAGAGCUGUACCAGGGGAAAGAAUUGUGCCCAGGCCUGGAAGGUGUCCAGUCUGAGAAAAACUUACUGAAACAUCUCUGAGGGUGUCCUGUAAAUGCUGCUAGAGUCUGCAGGUGAAAUCUCAACCAGGCAAUGGGGAAUUCUCAUUGAUCGCCUCUAAGUGGCGACCGCUACCGCUGGUUAUUUCUGAAAUAAUUUCUAUCAUCCAGAAAUCUGAACUGAGCCUUCUGCUUCCGCCUACCUGCUGCCAAUGAGCACUUCAAGUUUCACAUACCCAAUGAAAGGAUGCCCAAGUUAUCCCAGGAAAUACAGAAUUCUGCAUUAGUAAGUAAUGAUAUUUUAGUGUGAAAUCUGAUGGAGCUGGUUAUUCUGUCACCAACGCCAAGUGGAAAGGGUACUGAGCUACAUGAGAUGCCGUUUGUUAACAGGAUCUGACGACAGCCUAGUCCAACAGAAAUCUUUUGUAGGAGGUUGCUCAUAGUCUUUUUCCAUCCUGGAGACGGUGGAACUAUGGGGGAGAGAUCACAGAUGGCCUGAUACUCUAUUAAAAGCUCCAGGGAUGCUUAGAAGAAAUCCCCACAUCUCUUAAGAAAAAUUGAUGGCUUCCCAUUAAGUCAAUGACACCUUCUCAAUUGAUGUUCUGGUCUGUGGAAAAGACUAUUUGUGAUGCAUGUAUGCAAAAUGCCACAGAAAUCUUGAAUAUUUUCUGAGCUAUAGACCACAGAAGCACAGUGCUCAAUGUGUUAAAAUGUGAAUGCAAAAUCAGCUUCAUUGCUCAAAAUCACUGUAUGUUAAUGGCCGUGAUGGCCCUUUUAUUUCCAUAAUUGCAGUUAAAUAAACAUGCCAUUG
This is a long non-coding RNA of Malaclemys terrapin pileata, 890 nucleotides long. RefSeq lists it as uncharacterized. NCBI's taxonomy places the organism in Eukaryota, Metazoa, Chordata, Testudines, Emydidae. The record is from RefSeq and is a predicted model, not a curated record. The transcript has 3 exons.